This 1117-nucleotide unclassified non-coding RNA is filed under the name Cotesia glomerata. RNAcentral's name for it is "uncharacterized LOC123274022, transcript variant X2". The record is from RNAcentral. Lineage: Eukaryota; Metazoa; Arthropoda; Insecta; Hymenoptera; Braconidae.
AAAAUGGGGUAAAACCAAUAACUUCCCGAUUUUUGAAAAUUUCCAAUUUUCUUAGCGGGAAGUUAAAAAGUGUGCUAUGGUAAAAUCGUUUUUUAUUCAGGAAAUGACGAUGAGAUAGAUGCUAAAUGGGCAGAACUUACCAAGCCUAAAAACAGAAACAAACUUAAAUUUGAUAAAAAAGCAGAACUGCCAGAUGAAAAAUGUCGUCAAGGUCGAAAAAGAAAUUUAUCAAAAGUUUUAGCUAAGGAAGAUGAUAAACGCUCUCAUAAGUUGGAAACCACAGUAAAAAAAGCAAAGGAGCCACGUAGAAAAACCGAGCCCAAAAAUCUGAAAGCUAACCAAAACUCUUCACAAGAAGAAAGUCUUACCCAAGACGACUAUAAGAGAAUGUAUUUAGAUCUGCAAAAGAAAAUGAAUGAUGAAAGAAAAUCGUCUAAUGUGAAAAAUAAAAGUCCUGGGUUAGCAAUAAUUUAAAAAAAAAGAAAUAAUUCUUCAUCUUCGGAGACCGAGUCUUUUAAUUCAUCUACUGAAGAUCCAUCGAUGCACUAUUCUAAAUCUGAUGAUACCGGUGGUGAGAGUGUUUUAGACGAGAUUGACAAAACUGGAACUAAAGCUAAAAAUAAUUCUUUAGCUAAUGAAUUUGGAGAAAAAGAAAUGUCAGCUGAUGAAAAAGAAAUCGCUGAUUCAGCUAUUGAAGAUAAUUUGAGCAAUGAGGAUAAAAAUAAUAAAAAUAAAACUGAUCUUGAAGCAAAGCAACCAGAAUAUUAUGAUGAGAAUAUUCAACUUUUGGGCCCUAAUCAUGGAGAAAAAAUGAUUGGAUUUGUGCCAAAUAUCUUUUGCAUAAAAAAAAUUAGAUAUUGGUCAAGAAAGUGGGGAAGUGACGGUCCUCGCACGUUAUUUCAUGGAAGGGGUUUUGAAGCAAGAAGAGCUAUUACGUUAUACAUUCAGUGGUCAAGCUGCUCGCGCACAAGGCUCUGAGAAAAACAAGAAAAAAGUAGAACCGUUUCACCAUGCAGCUAAAACGGCAAUAAUAAACUAUGCAUUAAACUAUUCAAAGGAGCAUGGCUGGAAAAAAAAAAGAAAAAUGGCGAGUCAGCACCUUAUAAUGAAAGUGAAA